RNAcentral lists this ribosomal RNA (392 nucleotides) under uncultured bacterium. RNAcentral's name for it is "bacterial SSU rRNA". It matches the Rfam family "Bacterial small subunit ribosomal RNA", at positions 30 to 405 of the family's 1533-position model. The record is from RNAcentral.
AGUGAACGCUGGCGGCAGGCCUAACACAUGCAAGUCGAGCGGCAGCGGGUCCCCGCGAGGGGAUGCCGGCGAGCGGCGGACGGGUGAGGAACACAUCGGGAUCUGCCUGGUUGUGGGGGAUAACGUAGGGAAACUUACGCUAAUACCGCAUGAGACCCUGAGUCGACGGACUGGGGGUGAAAGUGAGGGACCUUCGGGCCUCACGCGACCAGAUGAGCCGAUGUCGGAUAGCUAGUUGGCGGGGUAACGGCCCGCCAAGGCGACGAUCCGUAGCUGGUCUGAGAGGAUGAUCAGCCACACUGGGACUGAGACACGGCCCAGACUCCUACGGGAGGCAGCAGUGGGGAAUCUUGGACAAUGGGCGCAAGCCUGAUCCAGCCAUGCCGCGUGGG